GAAUAUUGGACAAUGGGGGCAACCCUGAUGCAGCGACGCCGCGUGAGCGAUGAAGCCCUUCGGGGUGUAAAGCUCUUUCGGCAGGGAAGAUAGUGACGGUACCUGCAGAAGCAGCUGCGGCUAACUACGUGCCAGCAGCCGCGGUAAUACGUAGGCAGCAAGCGUUGUUCGGAGUUACUGGGCGUAAAGGGGGCGUAGGCGGCCCAUUAAGUUUGUCGUGAAAUCUCCCGGCUCAACCGGGAGGGUGCGGCGGAAACUGGUGGGCUCGAGUGCGGGAGAGGAGAGUGGAAUUCCUGGUGUAGCGGUGAAAUGCGUAGAUAUCAGGAGGAACACCGGCGGUGUAGACGGCUCUCUGGACCGUAACUGACGCUGAGGCACGAAAGCGUGGGUAGCAAACAGG
This 400-nucleotide ribosomal RNA is filed under the name uncultured bacterium. Its description in RNAcentral is "bacterial SSU rRNA". It matches the Rfam family "Bacterial small subunit ribosomal RNA", at positions 359 to 776 of the family's 1533-position model. The record is from RNAcentral.